GCGGUGCAACACGAGAACUUCCCAGGAGGUCACCCAUCCUAGUACUACUCUCGUCCAAGCACACUUAACUGCGGAGUUCUGAUGGGAUCCGGUGCAUUAGUGCUGGUAUGAUCGCACCC
This 119-nucleotide ribosomal RNA is filed under the name Arabis alpina (gray rockcress). Its description in RNAcentral is "rRNA ENSRNAG00050207515". Lineage: Eukaryota; Viridiplantae; Streptophyta; Magnoliopsida; Brassicales; Brassicaceae. The record is from RNAcentral.